GCUGCGAUGUCCGAGUGGUUAAGGAGUUGGACUUGAAAUCCAAUGGGGUUUCCCCGCGUAGGUUGGACGUUUCGAACCCUACUCGCAGCG
This is a non-coding RNA of Hypomesus transpacificus, 90 nucleotides long. The record is from the annotation of a RefSeq genome assembly. NCBI's taxonomy places the organism in Eukaryota, Metazoa, Chordata, Actinopteri, Osmeriformes, Osmeridae.